Molecule: long non-coding RNA, 1797 nt
Organism: Anolis carolinensis (green anole)
Lineage: Eukaryota; Metazoa; Chordata; Lepidosauria; Squamata; Anolidae
Exons: 3
Source: RefSeq, a predicted model, not a curated record
ACCUUGGUUUCCCUUCAGCCGGGGCGAUGUCGGUUGCCGAGGCUUCUUCAUCGGGCCUGUUGGAGGAGGAGCCCUGCCUGCUGCCUCCGGAGCCGUCAGCCGAGAGGGUGGCCGCUCGGAUACGGGCCGUGGCUCGGUUCCUGCGCCGGGCCCUGCCGCUGUGCCUGGCUCACACGGUGGACUUUUACACGCGAGGCCUGUGGGAGAAGAUGGUGGCGCUUCCCCCGGAGACGGUGCUGGAGGCGCUGAGUGGAGACAGGCUUCGGAGGCUCCUGGAAGAGGCGCCGGAGCAGCGCCCUCUGGAGGAGCCCGCCGGUUGCGCUGCUGUAACCUCCAAUCCAAGUCAUGCAUGAAAUUAGUUGCUGUCAUUCUAAAACCAGAACCUGAGAGAGCUCUACUUGAGACUUUAACAAUAUAGAUGGACUGACAAAGCUCUGUGAAAUACUGAUACAUCUUGACUGCAAACUGCAGGUGCUCAGGCUCAAUUCAUGUGAACUAACCAAAGCAUGUUGUGAAGAUCUUUUUGAAGUUCUCAAAAAGAGUAAGUCUUUGUAAGAACUAGACCCAAGCAACAAUGAGGAUCUAAAGACAAACCUAGAAGCUGAUAAACGAAGCCAGAUUAGAAAACUGAAGCGGUGCAAUUUUAGAAUACAAAUAUGGCUAUAGAAGAGCAAUGUGGGGAAAUGGGUAUGUAUUUUUCUCAGUUAAACUAACUACUUUGCUGUCUUUCUGUUAAAAUGAUAGAAUUGGAUAUUUGCCCUAGUUUUUGAUCUAUCAAACUGUGCGAAGGAUUAAAUUUGGAGAUGCAACUGCUCCAAAGCUGUUCCAUAAGACACCAUGACUGAAGAUUUGAACCUAAUUUAUCUCUACUAAUCAGAUACUCUUGUAUACCAUGAGGGCUGAAUGAACUGAAUUUGGGUCGUAAUACUAUUUUUAGUUACUCAUCCCUGAAAAUUAAACUGGACAAAAGGCUCUUGUUCUCUUCCUCUCACAAAUAAAGACAAAACAUCAUAGAAAACCUUAAGAGUUUCAAAUAGAAAAAACUUUAUUAACAUUAUAAGGUGAAACCAGUUGUACAUGUUUAAAAUAUCAAACAGCUCUGAAAUAUAUCCAGGUUUGGACUUUUCACAACACCAAAUAACCUCCUGACAUUAGAUGGAUUGUAAUAUUGGUGCAUGACACCUUGGGUCAGUUGAUUUCCUAGGAGAAGACAACACAAUAUUACUAGCAUUAGGAAUUAUUUAUCUAAGAUGCAUGCUGUAUUGUUUCAGAGCUCUUAAAAGGAGGCGGCACAAAUUUGAAAGGAAGAAUUAACUCUCUUUUCCCCAACCAGUUUAGAAAAAAAGUUUGUCCUUUCUCCCUCAAGUCAGUUUGACACAGAAGGCUGCAAUGACAACCAAGACUGAAGUCACAAAGAAUAUGCAGGUUUGACUGAAAAUGUUAGAGAAUCAUUGCUAGAAGCAAAGGAGAAUAUCUGUGCCGAUUGAAUUUAACAGAUUUGGUCUGUAGGAGAAACAGCCUUAAUGAAUUGUACUCUUUUCAUAUGUCCUGGAGUCAGGUGUAUGAGAUGAAAACACAAUGUAACAAUUCUUGCAAUGCAUUCAGAUUUGGUUAUUUUAAAAUUUAUAUAUUGUAAUUUUAUAUUGCAUUUAAUUGCUUUUUAACUGAUUUUAUGUACUGUUGAUUGAUUUUGUAUAGGCAUCUAAUUGUGCCAGGGUUGUAAGCCACCCUGAGUCCCUUCGGGUGAAAAGGGCGGGAUAUAAAUAUUGGAAAUAAAAUAAAUAAAUAAAUAUCAAA